CUUGGUCAUUUAGAGGAAGUAAAAGUCGUAACAAGGUCUCCGUUGGUGAACCAGCGGAGGGAUCAUUACCGAGUACUAUAACUCAUAACCCUUUGUGAACCUUUAUACCUGUUGCUUCGGCGGCGCGCCUCCCGGGGCGUGCCCGCCGGCAUUAUCAGAAUCUCUGUUCGAACCCGACGAUACAUCUGAGUGUUCUAAGCGAACUGUUAAAACUUUCAACAACGGAUCUCUUGGCUCCAGCAUCGAUGAAGAACGCAGCGAAACGCGAUAUGUAAUGUGAAUUGCAGAAUUCAGUGAAUCAUCGAAUCUUUGAACGCACAUGGCGCCUUCCAGUAUCCUGGGAGGCAUGCCUGUCCGAGCGUCGUUUCAACCCUCGAGCCCCCGUGGCCCGGCGUUGGGGAUCUGCCCAGGCAGUCCCCGAAAACCAGUGGCGGACCCGUUGGGCCCUUCCUUUGCGUAGUAACAUCUGCCUCGCAUCGGGAGCCUGCGGGCUAUCCGGCCUCUAAACCCCCCUCAAGCCCGCUCCGGCGGCACCAAGGUUGACCUCGGAUCAGGUAGGAAUACCCGCUGAACUUAAGCAUAUCAAUAAGCGGAGGAAAAGAAACCAGCAGGGAUUGCCUCAGUAACGGCGAGUGGAGCGGCAACAGCUCAAAUUUGAAAUCUGGCUCCUUCGGGGCCCGAGUUGUAAUUUGCAGAGGAUGCUUCGGGUACGGGUUCCUUCCGAGUUCCCUGGAACGGGACGCCAUAGAGGGUGAGAGCCCCGUCUGGUAGGACACCCAGCCCGUGUGAAGCUCCCUCGACGAGUCGAGUUGUUUGGGAAU
Molecule: small RNA, 821 nt
Filed under: uncultured Verticillium
Lineage: Eukaryota; Fungi; Ascomycota; Sordariomycetes; Hypocreales
Description: eukaryotic LSU rRNA
Rfam family: Eukaryotic large subunit ribosomal RNA (bases 541-821)
Source: RNAcentral